RNAcentral lists this transfer RNA (73 nucleotides) under Tolypothrix sp. Co-bin9. RNAcentral's name for it is "tRNA-Arg". It matches the Rfam family "tRNA". From Rfam's summary of the family: Transfer RNA (tRNA) molecules are approximately 80 nucleotides in length. Their secondary structure includes four short double-helical elements and three loops (D, anti-codon, and T loops). The record is from RNAcentral. RNAcentral also lists the same sequence under 3 other names. Lineage: Bacteria; Bacillati; Cyanobacteriota; Cyanophyceae; Nostocales; Tolypothrichaceae.
GGGUGUGUAACUCAGGGGAUAGAGUAACUGCCUUCUAAGCAGUCAGUCGCAGGUUCGAUUCCUGCCACACCCG